Pteronotus mesoamericanus is the source of this 468-nucleotide non-coding RNA. The record is from the annotation of a RefSeq genome assembly. Lineage: Eukaryota; Metazoa; Chordata; Mammalia; Chiroptera; Mormoopidae.
CUGGGGGUCGGCACCAUGGCCUGGAUGCCACUCUCCCUCCUCAGCCUCCUCCUUCACUGCACAGGUUCCCUCUCGCAGCCUGUGCUGACUCAGCCGUCCUCCAUCUCUGCAUCUCCAGGAGCAUCAGCCAGACUCACCUGCACCCUCAGCAGCGGCUCUGUUGUUGAGGGCUACCAUAUAUACUGGUACCAGCAGAAGCCAGGGAGCCCUCCGCGGUUUCUCCUGAGAUUUAAAUCAGACUCAGACAAGCACCAGGGCUCCGGGGUCCCCCACCGCUUCUCUGGAUCCAAAGACGCCUCGGCCAACGCCGGGCUCCUGCUCAUCUCUGGGCUGGAGCCUGAGGACGAGGCCGAUUAUUACUGUGCUACAUGGCACGGCAACAGUAAUACUUACACAGUGCUGCAGAGUCGUGGGGAAGUGAGACUAAAACCCCCCUGUGCUCUGUCUGCCUGGGACUGUCACCCCUGA